Long non-coding RNA from Zingiber officinale, 301 nucleotides. RefSeq lists it as uncharacterized. The record is from RefSeq and is a predicted model, not a curated record. The transcript is spliced from 2 exons. NCBI's taxonomy places the organism in Eukaryota, Viridiplantae, Streptophyta, Magnoliopsida, Zingiberales, Zingiberaceae.
CUCCCUCGUCGCCUGCGGCCUCCCUCUAGCGCCAUCUACCUCCCGCGACGUCCCUCGAAACUAGUACAUUUCUUCAAUUCACUCAAGAGAUGCUCAAUAGAGGAUUAGCUAGGCUAUCAGAGAAAUAAUCUACGCCUGGCUAUGAGCGGCUUUGUUGCCUCUGAUGCAUACAAACACGUGAUCACAAUUUCGCAACGACAUGCGUUUGCAGGGUUCCAAAACACCUGAGGGAAGAAAAAGUGAUAGAAUGCGUCCACUGUGGUUGCAGGGGUUGUGCAAGUGGAGACUAAAACUUGAGGGG